Molecule: ribosomal RNA, 506 nt
Filed under: uncultured bacterium
Lineage: Bacteria
Description: partial 16S ribosomal RNA
Rfam family: Bacterial small subunit ribosomal RNA
Source: RNAcentral
GAUGAACGCUAGCUACAGGCUUAACACAUGCAAGUCGAGGGGUAACAAGAGAAAAGCUUGCUUUUCUUGUUGACGACCGGCGCACGGGUGAGUAACGCGUAUCCAACCUGCCUAUAACUAGGGAAUAACCUUGCGAAAGUAAGACUAAUACCCUAUGAUUUCCUUUGAUGACAUCAGAUUAGGAAUAAAGAUUUAUCGGUUAUAGAUGGGGAUGCGUCUGAUUAGCUUGUUGGCGGGGUAACGGCCCACCAAGGCAACGAUCAGUAGGGGUUCUGAGAGGAAGGUCCCCCACAUUGGAAAUGAGACACGGUCCAAACUCCUACGGGAGGCAGCAGUGAGGAAUAUUGGUCAAUGGGCGGAAGCCUGAACCAGUCAAGUAGCGUGCAGGAUGACGGCCCUAUGGGUUGUAAACUGCUUUUAUACAGGAAUAAAGUUAGCCACGUGUGGUUAUUUGUAGGUACUGUAUGAAUAAGGACCGGCUAAUUCCGUGCCAGCCGCCGCAGUAA